Molecule: long non-coding RNA, 419 nt
Filed under: Homo sapiens (human)
Lineage: Eukaryota; Metazoa; Chordata; Mammalia; Primates; Hominidae
Description: non-protein coding lnc-TMEM161B-3:1
Source: RNAcentral
UCUUCAUUCCAUGGACAGCAAUAAGCUCUCCUUGCAGCCAGGAGUGGCCAUAUGAUGGAUUCUGACUAAUGAGAUGCAAGCUGAAGUUGCUAAUUGGGACUCCUAAAAACACUUUUAAAAAGUGAUGGACUCAUGAUCUCUUCACCCUUCUUCUGCCUGUCUCGAAUUGUCCAUCCUCAGACUUCUUGAUACACAAAAAAUUUAUUUUCGGCUAGGCCAUGUUAAUUUGGUUUUCCACUACUUGCAGCUGACUGUACUGAUUAUCUAAAACUGCUUUAUAAAGUUUUGUGACUAGGGGGUGGGAGCAAUGAUCACUAAUAUUCAUUAAGUGAAAGGAUAAAUGAUUGAAUUGUGUAUCUUAAUUGUGGUAUAUUCUGUACAACAUUUUUACAAUAAAUUAAUGUUGAAUUAGUUUAUUU